GCAAAAGGUACCCAGGACCAGACGUGACCUAAUGACCAUUCUGACAACGGAAGUGACCUAAUCACCACGAGACCAUAGACAGCGCUCCUGUUGUCUCCUGAAAAAGCCUCGGAUUCGUGCAGCACAGGCUCACCUUAUCGA
Molecule: long non-coding RNA, 141 nt
Organism: Sphaeramia orbicularis (orbiculate cardinalfish)
Lineage: Eukaryota; Metazoa; Chordata; Actinopteri; Kurtiformes; Apogonidae
Exons: 3
Source: RefSeq, a predicted model, not a curated record